UACGUAGGUGGCAAGCGUUGUCCGGAAUUAUUGGGCGUAAAGCGCGCGCAGGCGGUUUCUUAAGUCGGGUGGGAAAGCCCCCGGCUCAACCGGGGAGGGUCAUUGGAAACUGGGGAACUUGAGUACUGAAGAGGAAAGCGGAAUUCCACGUGUAGCGGUGAAAUGCGUAGAGAUGUGGAGGAACACCAGUGGCGAAGGCGGCUUUCUGGUCAGUAACUGACGCUGAGGCGCGAAAGCGUGGGGAGCAAACAGG
RNAcentral lists this ribosomal RNA (253 nucleotides) under uncultured bacterium. RNAcentral's name for it is "partial 16S ribosomal RNA". It matches the Rfam family "Bacterial small subunit ribosomal RNA", at positions 524 to 776 of the family's 1533-position model. The record is from RNAcentral.